This 518-nucleotide ribosomal RNA is filed under the name beta proteobacterium BAC61P. Its description in RNAcentral is "bacterial SSU rRNA". It matches the Rfam family "Bacterial small subunit ribosomal RNA", at positions 969 to 1491 of the family's 1533-position model. Lineage: Bacteria; Pseudomonadati; Pseudomonadota; Betaproteobacteria. The record is from RNAcentral.
CCUUACCUACCCUUGACAUGUCUAGAAGUUUCCAGAGAUGGAUUCGUGCUCGAAAGAGAACUAGAACACAGGUGCUGCAUGGCCGUCGUCAGCUCGUGUCGUGAGAUGUUGGGUUAAGUCCCGCAACGAGCGCAACCCUUAUCAUUAGUUGCUACGCAAGGGCACUCUAAUGAGACUGCCGGUGACAAACCGGAGGAAGGUGGGGAUGACGUCAGGUCAUCAUGGCCCUUAUGGGUAGGGCUACACACGUCAUACAAUGGCCGGUACAGAGGGCUGCCAACCCGCGAGGGGGAGCUAAUCUCAGACAACCGGUCGUAGUCCGGAUCGCAGUCUGCAACUCGACUGCGUGAAGUCGGAAUCGCUAGUAAUCGCGGAUCAGCUUGCCGCGGUGAAUACGUUCCCGGGUCUUGUACACACCGCCCGUCACACCAUGGGAGCGGGUUCUGCCAGAAGUAGUUAGCCUAACCCGCAGGAGGGCGAUUACCACGGCAGGUUUCGUGACUGGGGUGAAGUCGUAA